UAAUAGCGUAUAUUAAAGUUGUUGCAGUUAAAAAAGCUCGUAGUCGGAUGUCGGGCUCGGGCAAGCUGUCGGCCUUUGGUCGGACGGCAGGCUCGGGUCUUUCUGCCUGAGGAACCCGGUUGCUUUAACGAGCUGCCGGUGGACGCAGGUCGUUUACUUUGAAAAAAUUAGAGUGUUCAAAGCAGGCUAGCGCUUGAAUACAUUAGCAUGGAAUAAUGAAAUAGGACUUUGGUGCUAUUUUGUUGGUUUCGAACACCGAAGUAAUGAUUAAUAGGGAUAGUCAGGGGCACUCGUAUUCCGUCGAGAGAGGUGAAAUUCUCAGACCAAUGGAAGACGAACUACUGCGAAAGCAUUUGCCAGGGAUGUUUUCACUGAUCAAGAACGAAAGUUAGGGGAUCGAAGACGAUUAGAUACCAU
RNAcentral lists this ribosomal RNA (417 nucleotides) under uncultured eukaryote. Its description in RNAcentral is "bacterial SSU rRNA". It matches the Rfam family "Eukaryotic small subunit ribosomal RNA", at positions 592 to 1018 of the family's 1831-position model. The record is from RNAcentral.